GCUUUCGUGGUGUAGUGGUCAGAACUCUAGGUUCGUAUUCCAGAGGUCCGUGGUUCGAGUCCCGGCGAAGGAG
RNAcentral lists this transfer RNA (73 nucleotides) under Stegodyphus mimosarum. It matches the Rfam family "tRNA". From Rfam's summary of the family: Transfer RNA (tRNA) molecules are approximately 80 nucleotides in length. Their secondary structure includes four short double-helical elements and three loops (D, anti-codon, and T loops). Further hydrogen bonds mediate the characteristic L-shaped molecular structure. tRNAs have two regions of fundamental functional importance: the anti-codon, which is responsible for specific mRNA codon recognition, and the 3' end, to which the tRNAs corresponding amino acid is attached (by aminoacyl-tRNA synthetases). tRNAs cope with the degeneracy of the genetic code in two manners: having more than one tRNA (with a specific anti-codon) for a particular amino acid; and 'wobble' base-pairing, i.e. permitting non-standard base-pairing at the 3rd anti-codon position. Lineage: Eukaryota; Metazoa; Arthropoda; Arachnida; Araneae; Eresidae. The record is from Rfam by way of RNAcentral.